UACGUAGGGGGCGAGCGUUGUCCGGAUUUAUUGGGCGUAAAGAGCUCGUAGGCGGUUUGGUAAGUCGGGUGUGAAAUCUCCACGCUCAACGUGGAGGGGCCACUCGAUACUGCUGUGACUUGAGUUCGGUAGGGGAGUGGGGAAUUCCUAGUGUAGCGGUGAAAUGCGCAGAUAUUAGGAGGAACACCGGUGGCGAAGGCGCCACUCUGGGCCGAAACUGGACGCUGAGGAGCGGAAAGCGUGGGUAGCAAACGAG
RNAcentral lists this ribosomal RNA (256 nucleotides) under uncultured bacterium. RNAcentral describes it as "partial 16S ribosomal RNA". It matches the Rfam family "Bacterial small subunit ribosomal RNA", at positions 524 to 776 of the family's 1533-position model. The record is from RNAcentral.